Molecule: non-coding RNA, 5257 nt
Organism: Oryza sativa Japonica Group (Japanese rice)
Lineage: Eukaryota; Viridiplantae; Streptophyta; Magnoliopsida; Poales; Poaceae
Source: RefSeq, a predicted model, not a curated record
GGCGGUCUUCCAGUGCCGCACGAUCCGUCGAGAUCGCGUCGGGGUGGGGGUGGGGGCGGCGCGGGGCGGGGGGAUUACGGGGGAGAAGCCGCCGGUGCCGGUGCCGGCGCCGCCCGCGUCAGAGAAAGGGGAAGUGCGGGAGGGAAGCGGGGAUCAACGGAGCGCGCCCGUCCUCUUCUCCACUUGCGUGGGCGGCACCUUCGACGGGAUGCCCGUGCAGCCGCCGGUUUCGCGUUCCCUCUCCGCUGCGGACGGCGGUUCCCUCCGGCGGCUGCACGAACUUAGCUUCAGCAUGAGCUUCUUAGAUUGAAAGAGUAAAUUGCUCGGCUGAAAUCCAAAAUCAAAAGCUGCAACAAAGAGAUUGACAAAAAGAAGGAUGAUAGCAAGAAGCAGUUGGAACAGAUGAAAAGUUUGCAUAAUGCUUUGGUUGAUGUCACAAGAACUAUCAAUGAAUUGAAUGAGCAAGGCCAAAAUAAAAAUCGAGAAAACCGCACUUAGCUGAUGACCAACUCCAGGAAUAUCACAGAAUUAAGGAAGAUGCGGCAAUGAGUACAACAAAGCUGAGACUUGAGAGAUGGGAUGGAAGGUUUUUUACAAAGAGCUUGCUGCUGACGUUUAAGCAAAAAAUAAUUUAGAGAAUAUGCAGCAGUUGUGUAGCUGUGAGAAUGAGAUUGUCACAAGUGCGUGAAUCGUGUGCAAAGCUUAAUAAGAUUCUUCAUUCAAUCCCCAACCAGGAAGAUGAGCUUCCUCGCUUAUGUGAGGAAAAUAACAAAGGAGCACCAGCCCUCAGGAGUUAAAUACCAAAAUGCUGAGGCAGAGGUUGGACGAGAUAUGUAAGGAAUUGUGAAAGCUUAAUGCUGACAAGCAUGAAAGUGAGUGGGAUGCUUGAUUUUCAGGAACAGCUAGGAGUCUAAGGCGGCUAUUCCCUGGAGUCCAUGGCGUGACAGAACUUUGUAUGCCUUAACAGAGAAAUACAACCUCGCUGCCACUGUUGCUAUGUGGAAUUCGUGGACGUAGUAAUGGUAGAAGAUAAGAGCAGAGCAAAAGAACACAUUAAGCUGCAGGAAUCAUGUGUUGGAUACAUUUACUCCCUCCAAUCACAAGUAUGUCCUGUUGGCUGUAGGGCAUCGACACAGUCCCAAGACUGCAACUUGACUGAUAAUUUCUAUUUUAAUAUAUUUCCAAGUGCAGCUACAGCUUUGGAGAAACCAAUUCCGUGUGCAGUUGGAAAUACACUUGCCUGUGAUGAAUUUGAUGAAGUGAAAACCUUAAGUUCAGGUGAUGAAAGGUACAAGGUUGAGUUUUUUUUUGUUUCUGCAUAUCUAAAACAACAGUAUCUUGUUUGGCUAUUUUUUAUGCUAAUUGUUCUAUCAUGUGAUAAUCGAAUAGUGAGACAACAGCAUAAUCCCUUCUGCACCUCUUAACCUACAAAAAGAUGUGAUGUGAAGACAUGUCUGUUUCGUAAACUUUAGAGCAAAUAUAUUAUCUUUUUAUCUAGCUCAUUUUUUUGAGGUGGGCUUUUAUCUAGUUCAUGGUUUGCCAAAAAAUAAUCCCCUUAAUUGCAUUGAUCUGACAUACUAUUGUGCUUCCAUAUAUAUUUAUUUGUUACAACUAGCAUCACAAAUCAGCGAUACAGGGGCAGUGAUAGACGCGUAUAUACAUAUGUAUAUUGGCUAUAUAUAUACUCCUAUAUAAAAGAAGGUAAUGGUGGUGAUAGCUUAACACCCCACCUACUAGUAUUGUAAAUUUUACGAGUUACUCAUUGAACUUCUAAAUGCAAAAGAAACAAGCAAAUCUAAAUCGAUAGCCUCUGUGGCUUCUUGUUCCCAUCCUCUUCUCCAUAGCAUGGGCGGAGCUUUCGAUGGGAUGCCUGUGCAGUCGCCGGUUUUCGUUUCCUCUAAUGCAGAUGGUUUGCUCCGGUGGCUGCAUGAUUUAGCUCUAGGUCGGUCCUUUCCUUUUUCGGCCGCCAAUCAAAUUGUACACAUUAGCCGCCAAUCAAAUUGUACACAUUAAUAAAUUUUCUUUUAUCUAUAGCAAAGCAUGGGCAUUCAAUACUUGUGAGCAAAGCACGGGCAUUCAAUUAGUAAUUGUGACAAUUUUAGGACUAUUAGCCUUGGUUCCGUUUAGACCUAAUUAAUGAAUAUUAACCUUAAUACCAAAAUUUUAUGUGUUAGCCUUGGGAUUAUUAUACACAAAACUCGUGAAUGUUAACCAUAGGGCGAAAAAAAUUCGAGAUAUAUCGCCUUUGGCCUAUAAUUUCAUGAGUUAUAUCCUUAUGCCAAAAUUUCAUGAGUAUUAGUCUUAUGGAAAAAAUGCACGAAUAUUUUUGUUCUGCCGAUAUUAGGACUAUUAGCCCUAGUCCCAUCUGGAACAAAUUAAUGAAAUAUUAUUCUUAGUAGAGUGGUAGCCUUGCGAUCAGUCAAAACAAAACUCGUGAAUAUUCACUAGAUGAACCAAAAAAAUUGAGAUAUAUUGCCUUUGUCCUAUAAUUUAGUGUGUUUUAGCCUUGGCAAAAAUUCACGACCAACUUUUUGCAAAAAAAAAGCAUGAAUCUUGUCUUCAACCCAAAUUUCACAAAGAUUAGACUAUGGCAUGAUUGGAACAAUAUUUGUGAAUACUAACUUUAGGAGAACAUUUCGUGAUUUUUUUUAGCCUUCGGCUAGAAGAAAUUCAUUAGUAUGAACCUUAUUAUUGAAAAAAAAACACAUGAAUAUUUUUAGUUCAGCUGACCUUGGUCCCGUUCAGAACACAAUCAACUUAGUACCAAAAUUUUACGAGUGUUAGCCUUGGGAUCGUCAGACACAACGUGAAUAUUAACCAUAGGACCAAACAAAUAGGAGAUUUUUGGGCUUUGAAAUAUAAUUUGGUUAGAUUUUUUAUUAUUUAUUGAACCUUUUUAAGUUUUAAUUUUUAAAAUAAAUCCUCUCAAAACAUAUUUCCAAAAAUUGGAACCCUUCGUCCACACCACCUCCCCUAGCAUGACGAAAUAACACUGUCAUGCCACCCGUAAUUGUUUUGCCACACCAGCCAGGUUGGUGUGGCGAAAUAACAUUGCCACACUAUUCAGACCAGCGUGGCCAAAUAACGCUACCACGCCAGCUAGAUCGGCAUGGCCGAAAGAUUCUGUUUUGAAAAUAAAAGAUUUCGGAGAAGUUUCAAAAAACAAAAGAAGUUCAUUUGGUGAAAUUCAUUAGGAUUAUACCUAUUGGAAAACACAUUAAUAUUUUCUCCAUGCCAAAAUUUUAAGAACUAUCAACCUUUGGCUCGUUUGGAAAAAAAUCAUGAACCAAAUAGUCCUUGGGAUCGUUGUGCACAAAACUCGUAAUAUUAAUCAUAUAGGACAAAAAAAUCCGUGGCUUUUAACCUUAGGCUGUAAUUUCGUAAGUUACAGUUGUUUGCCAAAAUUCAUGAGUAAAUACCUUUGGCAAGAAAAGGCAUGAAUAAUUUUCAUCAGUUCAAAAUUUCACGAGAAUUAGCCUUGGGAUUGUUAGGCACUUAAUUGGAGAAGAUUAACCUUAGAAAUAAAAAGUGGGCUAUAAUUUCGUGACUUGGCCUUUUGCCAAAAUUCAUGAGUACCUUUGACAAAAAAAAGCAUGAAUAUCAACCUUAGGAGCAAAAGCUUUGUGAUUUUUAUCCUUCAUGCUAUAAUUUUAAGAGUUAUAGCCGUUGUCCAAAUUUCAUGAGUAAUAACACCUGUGACAAUGCAUUAAUAUUUGUCAUCAGCAUAAAAUUUCAUGUGUGUUACUAUGGGUAUCAUCGGGCGUAAAAUUUGUGAAUAUUUUUCUCUGGCUCACGUUUCACGACAAUUAGCCUUGGCCUUGUUCGCAACAAAAUUCGUGAACAUUAACCAUGUGAACAAGAGAAGUGUGAUUUUGUAGUCUUCAUGCUAUAAUUUCGUCGAUCAAAAUUUUGUAGCCUUGGCAUGAGUUUUUUUCGCCCAAAAUAUCAAGAUUUUUAGCUUUGUAUCAUCAGGCAUAAAAAAAUCGUGAAUAUCUUUCUUUGGCUCCAAUCUCAAGACAAUAUUAACCUUGGGCCUGUUCAGAACAAAAUUCGUGAAACAAAGUUUCGUGAUUUUUAACUUUCAGCCUAUAAUUUCAUGAGCAAUAACAUUUGGAAAAACACAUAAAUAUUUUUCCCUUGGCCCAAAAUAUCAUAAGACGUCUUGGUAUCAUAGAGCAUAAAAUUAAUGAAUGUUUUUUCUCAGAUUAUCCCGUUUCGAACAAAAUUUUCAAAACUUAACCUCUGGAACAAAAUUUGUGAUUUUUAGUGUUCGACCUAUCAAUAUAAUUUCGUAAGUUAUAUAGCCUUCUAUCAAUAUUUAUUGGGUAUUAUACUUGUGGAAAAAAACAUAUUAGGACUAUUGACCAUCAGACUUGGGAUGGUUAGGCAAAAAACUCGUAAUUAAUAACCAUAGGACCAAAAAUUCCAUAACUUAGCUUCUAGCUAUAAUUUCGUGAGUUAUAGCUAUAGCCAUCAGCCAAAAUUAAUGAGCAGCAAUCCUUGGUAAAAAAGAUUGAAUAUCCAAUGAGCACAAAACUCGUGAAUGUUAACCUUAGGAACUAAAGUUUAGUUAACUUUAACCUUCAUGCUAUAAUUUCGUGACUUAAAGCCUUCUGAAAAAGCGUGAAUACUAACCUUAGGUAAAGGAGGAACAAAUAUUUUUCUCCUGCCCAAAAUAUCGUGAAUGUUAGCCUUGGGAUCGUUAGGCACAAAAUUCAUAAUAUUAAUCUCCAGACUAAAACUUUCAUGAAUAUUAACCUCCAGACUAAAACUUUCAUGAUUUUUUCCAUCGCUCUAUAGUUUCGAGAGUUGUAGUCUUCCACAAAAAUUCAUGAGUAUUAAAGUUUGGGAGGAAAACACAUAAAUAUUUCUCUUGCCAAUUCAUGAUUUUUGCCGUUGGCUUAUACUCUCGUGUGUUAAUAAUAGCCUUAGGUAGAAACACGCGAGUAUUGACCUUUAGAAAAAUACGCAUGAUUUUUUUCUCCAGCCCAAAACUUCACUAGUAUUAGUAUCGGGAUGGUAGCACAUCAAUUUUGUUACCAUUAACAUUACAAGAAAAUAAAUUCAUGAUUGUUUGCCAUCACACUAUUUUCAUGUUAGCCUCAUGAGUGUAAUCUUUUUGUAAAAAAACAUAUGAUUUUCCCAAAAUUUUACUUUUAUUAGCAUUGAGAUUGUUGCGCAUAGAGUUUGUGAAUCUUAACAUUACAUCAAAAAUUUUAGAGUAAAUUUCACAAAACUACACGUAAUUUGCAUAAUG